AGCAAUACAAGGCAUACGGCUCAGUAACGCGUAGUCAACCUAACCUAUGGACGGGAAUAACCUCGGGAAACUGAGAAUAAUGCCCGAUAGAACAUUAUGCCUGGAAUGGUUUAUGUUCCAAAUGAUUUAUCGCCGUAGGAUGGGACUGCGGCCUAUCAGUUUGUUGGUGAGGUAAUGGCCCACCAAGACUAUUACAGGUACGGGCUCUGAGAGGAGUAGCCCGGAGAUGGGUACUGAGACACGGACCCAGGCCCUAUGGGGCGCAGCAGGCGAGAAAACUUUGCAAUGUGCGAAAGCACGACAAGGUUAAUCCGAGUGGUUUCUGCUAAAGAAACCUUUUGUCAGUCCUAGAAACACUGAUGAAUAAGGGGUGGGCAAGUUCUGGUGUCAGCCGCCGCGGUAAAACCAGCACCUCAAGUGGUCAGGAUGAUUAUUGGGCCUAAAGCAUCCGUAGCCGGCUCUGUAAGUUUUCGGUUAAAUCUGUACGCUCAACGUACAGGCUGCCGGGAAUACUGCAGAGCUAGGGAGUGGGAGAGGUAGACGGUACUCGGUAGGAAGGGGUAAAAUCCUUUGAUCUAUUGAUGACCACCUGUGGCGAAGGCGGUCUACCAGAACACGUCCGACGGUGAGGGAUGAAAGCUGGGGGAGCAAACCGGAUUAGAUACCCGGGUAGUCCCAGCUGUAAACUAUGCAAACUCAGUGAUGCAUUGGCUUGUGGCCAAUGCAGUGCUGCAGGGAAGCCGUUAAGUUUGCCGCCUGGGAAGUACGUACGCAAGUAUGAAACUUAAAGGAAUUGGCGGGGGAGCACCACAAGGGGUGAAGCCUGCGGUUCAAUUGGAGUCAACGCCGGG
Molecule: ribosomal RNA, 851 nt
Filed under: uncultured crenarchaeote
Lineage: Archaea; Thermoproteati; Thermoproteota
Description: bacterial SSU rRNA
Rfam family: Archaeal small subunit ribosomal RNA
Source: RNAcentral